GCCUCCACCUCUGGUGGUCCUGAUGGAGCUUAACUUGCCCCCCCCCGGUGCUUACAUGAACCCCCCAGUUGCCUCCAGUCACAUUCCUGAUGUCAGAGCCUCUUUGCCCCCCCAGGUACAGCAACCUGACAGAGACCAAGAAGCAGUGGUACGAGGAAGAGGAUGAGAACUGGAAACUCCCUGGGGGCUUCACCAUCCAGAAUGAUGAUGUCUAUGAGGACACCAUGCGGGUUGACCUGCAGUCCGUGGACACCUUGGCAAAGGUAGGUCCCCCCACCCACCUGAAGGGGGCGACAUAUGAGGGGUAGCACCCCCACCGAUCUAAUGGACUCACCAUGUGACCCCCCCCCCCCCCCCACCUUAAAAAAUUCCCCCCAGGUCCAAAUCCAGAGGCCAGAGAGGAUCACCUCGGAGCUCUGAGCAGGGAGGAGGGGACACCAGGAGGCUGCCUCCUCUCCCCCCAGGGAGCCACACAGCACUGGGGGAUAACCCUUGCUUUUCGGGAGGUAUCAUGACCUCAAGUUGGGGAUCAUGGCCCUCACUUUUAUGGUCAUGACCCCCACCCUUCCUAUAGCACUUCAUUUGGCCC
Molecule: long non-coding RNA, 589 nt
Filed under: Anas platyrhynchos platyrhynchos (common mallard)
Lineage: Eukaryota; Metazoa; Chordata; Aves; Anseriformes; Anatidae
Description: lncRNA (ENSAPLG00000019390.1)
Source: RNAcentral